GGGGAUGUGGCUCAGUGGUAGAGCGCUUGCCUAGCAUGUACAAGGCCCUGGGUUCAAUCUUUAAUCCCCAGCAUCACAA
Molecule: transfer RNA, 79 nt
Filed under: Marmota monax (woodchuck)
Lineage: Eukaryota; Metazoa; Chordata; Mammalia; Rodentia; Sciuridae
Description: tRNA.Ala
Rfam family: tRNA
About the family: Transfer RNA (tRNA) molecules are approximately 80 nucleotides in length. Their secondary structure includes four short double-helical elements and three loops (D, anti-codon, and T loops).
Source: RNAcentral